This is a non-coding RNA of Chiloscyllium plagiosum (whitespotted bambooshark), 2541 nucleotides long. The record is from RefSeq and is a predicted model, not a curated record. Lineage: Eukaryota; Metazoa; Chordata; Chondrichthyes; Orectolobiformes; Hemiscylliidae.
ACCUCAACUUGAGCUACAAACCUUGCAAAAAUUGUUUUUACUGUAAUAACAUGAUGGAUAUUUCCUUAUUUUAAAAACAAUUGUUAGGCAAAUCACACCAGACCUAUUCUGCUAGAAUUCAUGUCACAAGUGUCAAGCAAUGACCAUUUUUCCAACAAGAGGGAAUCUAACUAGUGAUGGUAAUUUAUUGCUAUUACCAUGGGGGUUACCAUUGACCAGAAACUGAACAGGAUCAGCCGCUUAAAUAUUGUGGCCAUAAGAGAAGGUCAGAGGUUAGGGAUCCUGUGGCAAAUAAUUCAUCACCUCCUUCCCCAAAGCAUAUCUCCAUCUAUAAAUCAGGAGUGUGAUGAAAUGCUCUUCCUACUUGACUGGAUGAGUUCAGUUCUGACAAUACUCUCACUUAACAGCACCCAAGACAAGGCAGUCUACGUGGUUGGCAUCCCAACCAUCAUUUUCAAAACUCUCUCCCUCCACCAUUAGUGGCAGCAGUGUGUACUUCUACAAAAUGCACUGCAGCGACUCGCUAAGGCUUCAAUAUACCACCUUUCAAAUGUGCAGCCUUUUUCCACCAAGAAGAACAAGGACAGCAGAUAGAUGGGAACCCCUGUAAGCUGUCCUCCAAACUACAUACCAUCCUGACUCAGAACCAUAUCACCAUCUCUUCACUGUCAGCAGUAUAGAGAUCCCUUGGGGUUCCAUUGCUUUGUAAUUAGAAGCUGGAAUAAAAAUGGGUACAGGCUGUCAUGCAUCAGCAAUAUGGACGGCACCCCAAUGAACUUUGUUAUGCCAGGGAACAGAACUGUGGAUAAGAUUGGAGUAAAGGCAAUUUUAGUUAAGACUAAUGGCCAUGAAAAGAGUUGAUUCGCUGUGGUACUUGGUUGUAUGGCAGAAGGAACAAAGUUAAAGCCUAUGGUGAUUUUUAAGUGGAAAAUACUGUUGCCCAAACAGAAAUUUCCAAAAGGCGUUGUUGUCCUUAUCCAUGAAAAAGGAUAGAUGGAUGAAGGUGGCUGCACGACUUGGAUUAGGGUGGUCUGGAAUAUGCGACCAGGUAGACUUAGAAAGGGAAAAAGCUUACUGGUUUGGGAUAUGUUCAGAUCACAUAGAGUGAAAAGUGUUAUCACUGAUGUUUGAACCAACAAGACUGCAAUGAUUCAUGGGGGCCUUACAAGCAUGGUGCAGCCACUGGAUAUUAGCAUAAAUAAACCCUUUAAGGACUUAGUACGGAAGAAAUGAGACACAUAGAUGCUAGAAGGGGAAAAUCGCUUCACAAAAGGUGGCAACAUACAUGCUCCAUUACUUGCAAUUGUAUGUGAGUGGAUUGUUGAGUCCUGGAAGGAAAUGUAAAAUUAAAUUGUGAAAGCCUUAAAAAAUUGUGAAAUUUCUGAUGCUUUAGGUGGUACAGAGGAUGACUAUUUGUGGUUAGAUGGAAAUGAUGGCAAAUCAAUUGAUGAUCACCUUUGAGAGUGCAGUUGAAGAUGAUCCAUACGAUGAUAUGCUUGACCCAGAUGACUAGAAUGAAUUAUUCAGUGGUCCAACUGAUGAGGGCAGUGAAUUUGAAGGAUUCUAAUGGAGUUUUGCAUGUACCGAAAGAGAUUUGGCUCUUGUUUCUCCAUUUUUGACUCACGCCAAAUAUGAAUUUCAUGCCCUUGAAAACAAUACCUCGUGUAUAAGUCGACCCUCUAAUUUCAGCCUUAAAAGAAAAGGUCUUCAAAACUCUACCUAUAUGUAUGCAUGAAAAACUAGAUGACAACAACUCAUGACUUGAGAGUCAGAAUGGUUACCUGGCGGCUGGAGUUCACUGGCAUCUUCUCCAGAAAUCUGUCUUGGCCAGCAUUCCUCAACAUCUAAGGGCAAUGAACACUUGCACUCUCCAUCCACAGAGAUUAUUAUUGGCAAAGCACCAGCAUCAGCAUGGCACACAUCAGACAAAGGAAUGAUACAGAUCAGCACUUCAUUGCUGCACUAUCGAACAGGCAUGCAUCUUUUCAUCGGAAUAGGAUGCAUUUUUGGGCUCUUAGCUUGUUUUCUUAGCACUCGCUCAAUUUGCAAAUUACUUGGAUGCUCACAGCAUGUCUGCUUUGCCUAUUAGCGCAGACAGAAAGUUUGUAAUGUUUGCCAGUAAUGGACAGUCAAAGGGGUGAAUAUGUUGCUCUGUGAAUCUGAGAUACCUUAACGCUACAUCUACAGUAGGUGGCAGCAGCUUGCAGGCAGAAACUCUACACUUUGCUGAUGAUACAAAAAUUGGAGGGAGGGCAACUAGUGAGGAUGUCAUCAAGUCUGCAAAGGGAUAUAGGCAGGUUAAGCAAGUGCAGAAAUUUUUUUUGGAUGGAAUAUAAUGUGGGAAAAUGUGAGAUGAUACAUUUUGUCAGGAAGAAUAGAGGUGCUGAACAAUAUUUAAAUUGAGAAAUAUGCAAAACGGAUGGCUUUAGUAGUCCUCGUGUAUAAAUCACAAACAUUUAGAAUCUAUGUUCAGCAGGUAACAGGGAAGAUAAAUGGAAUGUUGGCCUUUAUUUCAAAGGGAAUGGAAUAUAAAAAUAAGGA